UAAGUUCAUUUUUGAAAGAUUGACAUACUUUUKCUGCCAUUAUUAGCGUUACACGGGUGUUACUCUUUAUUUGACAGGUUAGAUUCUUGAAUUAUCUUCAGUGAUAAGUUAUUUUCCAGUGAUCAAUAUUUUUUGCCAAUGAGAUGGGAGCUGGCCCACAAGCGGAACUACAAUUGCUGUUUCAGUAGACGACUUUUCAAAUUCUGUYAACAAAAAUUAAAAGAAUAAAAGACRCCCAAAGACACUAACAACCAAGAAACUUUAUUUAAGAGGCAAAAUGCUUUUCWGGCUAGGAUAUUCACAGCUUCAGCCGCUACUACAUCAGAAGACGUUUCAACAACGCUGGAUGAAUUGACUACAURGUUAAAAUCGCAUUACAUCAGUACAGGUGUUUUCUUUACUUCAAGACCAGCCUCAGGAACAAGUACUUGGCUUAAACUCCUAUUAUAGUUUUCUUUGCAUGUUUCAUUUAUUGUUGAAUAAAUAUCUUGUCCUACU
Exaiptasia diaphana is the source of this 498-nucleotide long non-coding RNA. RefSeq lists it as uncharacterized. The record is from RefSeq and is a predicted model, not a curated record. The transcript is spliced from 2 exons. Lineage: Eukaryota; Metazoa; Cnidaria; Anthozoa; Actiniaria; Aiptasiidae.